UCAGUGGUGGUUCAGUGGUAGAAUUCUCACCUUCCAUGCGGGAGACCUGGGUUUGAAUCCCAGCCAAUGCA
RNAcentral lists this transfer RNA (71 nucleotides) under Loxodonta africana (African savanna elephant). It matches the Rfam family "tRNA". From Rfam's summary of the family: Transfer RNA (tRNA) molecules are approximately 80 nucleotides in length. Their secondary structure includes four short double-helical elements and three loops (D, anti-codon, and T loops). Further hydrogen bonds mediate the characteristic L-shaped molecular structure. tRNAs have two regions of fundamental functional importance: the anti-codon, which is responsible for specific mRNA codon recognition, and the 3' end, to which the tRNAs corresponding amino acid is attached (by aminoacyl-tRNA synthetases). tRNAs cope with the degeneracy of the genetic code in two manners: having more than one tRNA (with a specific anti-codon) for a particular amino acid; and 'wobble' base-pairing, i.e. permitting non-standard base-pairing at the 3rd anti-codon position. The record is from Rfam by way of RNAcentral. Lineage: Eukaryota; Metazoa; Chordata; Mammalia; Proboscidea; Elephantidae.